RNAcentral lists this long non-coding RNA (755 nucleotides) under Ursus maritimus (polar bear). Its description in RNAcentral is "lncRNA (ENSUMAG00000011690.1)". Lineage: Eukaryota; Metazoa; Chordata; Mammalia; Carnivora; Ursidae. The record is from RNAcentral.
AAUAUGUGACAGACAUAUGUGGUCUGUGAAGCCUAAAAUAUUUUCUAUUUGGCUUUUUUGUAGAAAAAAAUUUUUGACUCCUGCUCUAGACCUGGAUGACUGCAUAAUUAUAGAUGUUUUCCCUUCAUGCCUACUCAACAAAUCUGCCUGGAAAUAAGAGAAAUGAGGCAGAAAAAGUCUAAUGAUCACUUAAAGGUUCAAAUACUGAAUUUUCAUCAAGUUCAAAAAAUUUGGAUGAAGGUUUGGCUAAAAUAUUUGAUGAAAUUCUACUGCAAGUGUUUUCCAAAGUUCCAUUGGAUGAAAUAAGAACAGCAGGAAAGUCAAUUACAAAGAGAGAAGUGAAAGAAAGUUAUCCUCAAAAAAAGAAUUUGAAAGAUACUGAAUUUGUAUCAAGUUCAAAUAAACGAGAAGAACAUUUGUCUAAACUAUUUGAUGAAAUUCUACAGCAAGUGUUUCACAAGGUUCCGUAUGAGACUCCAGUUGAUGAAGCCAGAACAGCAGGCAAAUCAAUCACAAAGAGAGACAUGAAUUCAGAAAAUUUCAUCAAAGGAGCCAGUGUUGCUGGGUAUUCUACUGCACCAGGGUUUCUCCUUGGCAGCGUGGACAGAAUUUCUACUGAUGGUCACAAUUCAGAGAAGAGGGAUAAAGAAUCUUCUCUCUCCAGCGGGCAUAUAAAUGAGCCGUUUUCUGCUGUAGAUAAAGCGACACUUGAAGAAGCAGUUAGGACAGGUAAUAAGCUAGAUACCGUAAGCUAA